AGAGUUUGAUCCUGGCUCAGAUUGAACGCUGGCGGCAGGCUUAACACAUGCAAGUCGAGCGGAGUGAUGGUGCUUGCACUAUCACUUAGCGGCGGACGGGUGAGUAAUGCUUAGGAAUCUGCCUAUUAGUGGGGGACAACAUUUCGAAAGGAAUGCUAAUACCGCAUACGUCCUACGGGAGAAAGCAGGGGAUCUUCGGACCUUGCGCUAAUAGAUGAGCCUAAGUCGGAUUAGCUAGUUGGUGGGGUAAAGGCCUACCAAGGCGACGAUCUGUAGCGGGUCUGAGAGGAUGAUCCGCCACACUGGGACUGAGACACGGCCCAGACUCCUACGGGGAGGCAGCAGUGGGGGAAUAUUGGGACCAAUGGGGCCGCAAGCCUGAUCCAGCCAUGCCGCGUGUGGUGAAAAAAGGGCCUUAAUGGUUGGUAAAAGCAACUUUAAGCCGAGGGAGGGAGGGCUACUGAAGUUAAUUACCUUUCAGAUUGUGGAAGUUUACUUCGCAGAAUAAGCACCCGGCUAACUUCUGGUGCCCGCAGCCCCGGUAAUACCGAAGGGUGCCAGCCGUUUAUCCGAUUUUACUUGGGCGUAAAGCCGCGCGGUAAGCCGGCUAAUUUAAUCCAAUGUUGAAAUCCCCCAACUUAUACUUGAGGACAAUAUCGUCCAUUCUGAUACUGCCCGUUAAGCCUAAAGUGGUGCGAAGAAGGAUCGGGUCAGAAACUUUCCAAGGUGUGAGCGCGUGAUAAUGCCGUAUAGGUAUCUCGGAGUAAUACCGGAUGGCGCAAGCAGGCCUUCUAUCUGGGCUCUAUACCACUGACGGCUGAUGUGGCAGAAAUCCAUGUGGAGACCAAACAGGGAUUUAGCAUACCCUCGUGUGUAGUCCCAUCGCUAUAAAGCGGAGUGAUCUUACUAGCCCGCUGUGGGGCCUUUGGCGUCUAGUAGCGCCAGCAGUCACGCGCGAUAGAUGAUCCGCCCUGGGGGGAGUACGUUCCCCAAGAUUAAAACUUAAAGGGAAUUGCGGGGGGGCCCCGCCACAAGCGGGGGGAGCCAUGUGUUUAAUUUCGAUGCACCGGAAAAACCUUACCGGCCCUUACACAUUAUUAAGACUUUUCCAAAGAUGGAUGGUCCUUUCGGGAAUUAACAUCCAGGUGUUCCAGGGCGGUGUCAGUUGGUUUCUUGAGAUGUGGGUUUAGUUCCCCCAACGAGCCCAACCUUUUCCUUUAUUUGCCAGCGAAGUAAAUGUCGGGAACUUUUAAGGAUACUGCCCAGUGCCAAACUGGAGGAAAGGCGGGGACGACGUCAAGUCAUCAUGGCCCCUUACGGCCAGGGCUCCACACGUGCUACAAUGGUCGGUACAAAGGGUUGCUACCUAGCGAUAGGAUGCUAAUCUCAAAAAGCCGAUCGUAGUCCGGAUUGGAGUCUGCAACUCGACUCCAUGAAGUCGGAAUCGCUAGUAAUCGCGGAUCAGAAUGCCGCGGUGAAUACGUUCCCGGGCCUUGUACACACCGCCCGUCACACCAUGGGAGUUUGUUGCACCAGAAGUAGGUAGUCUAACCGCAAGGAGGACGCUUACCACGGUGUGGCCGAUGACUGGGGUGAAGUCGUAACAAGGUAACC
Molecule: ribosomal RNA, 1614 nt
Filed under: uncultured bacterium
Lineage: Bacteria
Description: 16S ribosomal RNA
Rfam family: Bacterial small subunit ribosomal RNA
Source: RNAcentral